UAGGGAAUAUUGGUCAAUGGGCGAGAGCCUGAACCAGCCAUGCCGCGUGCAGGAAGACGGCCUUCUGGGUUGUAAACUGCUUUUAUACAGGAAUAAAAGGGCUCUGCGGAGCAGAUUGCAUGUACUGUAUGAAUAAGCACCGGCUAACUCCGUGCCAGCAGCCGCGGUAAUACAGAGGGGGCAAGCGUUGUCCGGACUUACUGGGCGUAAAGCGCACGCAGGUGGUAGCGCAAGUGGGGUGUGAAAGCCGCCAGCUCAACUGGCGGAGGCCAUCCCAAACUGCGUCACUUGAGGCCUGUAGAGGUAUGUGGAAUUGCCGGUGUAGUGGUGAAAUGCGUAGAGAUCGGCAGGAACACCCAGGGGGAAGCCAGCAUACUGGACAGGUCCUGACACUCAGGUGCGACAGCGUGGGGAGCGAACCGGAUUAGAUACCCCGGUAGUCC
RNAcentral lists this ribosomal RNA (443 nucleotides) under uncultured prokaryote. RNAcentral describes it as "bacterial SSU rRNA". It matches the Rfam family "Bacterial small subunit ribosomal RNA", at positions 355 to 796 of the family's 1533-position model. The record is from RNAcentral.